This is a non-coding RNA of Weissella koreensis KACC 15510, 361 nucleotides long. The record is from Rfam. Lineage: Bacteria; Bacillati; Bacillota; Bacilli; Lactobacillales; Lactobacillaceae.
GGGGUCGUUCCGGAAUCGACUGGUGCUGUUUGAGCUAAUGCUGCGUUUAGGGGUUGUGGCCCUAUAAUCCACUCAGACGAAUUAACUGCAAAAAAUUCAAACAACUUGGCUUUCGCUGCUUAAAAACCAGUGAACCAAACUAACACGAUUGGUGGCCAUCCAGUUUAGUUAGUCAUAAUAAUUAUGGCCUGCGCAUAACGCUCCCAUCUGAAGCUGUUAUGAAGAGGAUAAUCAGAUUAGCCUAAAGGAUCGCCGGGUUAAUUGGCGUGCCAAGGGCGAAUUUUAAAUUAAUUAACUAUGAACGUAGAUGUAUUAGUAUCAAGGUAUUAGGACAGGGGUUCAACUCCCCUCGGCUCCAUAA